Small nucleolar RNA from Oryzias melastigma (Indian medaka), 82 nucleotides. NCBI's taxonomy places the organism in Eukaryota, Metazoa, Chordata, Actinopteri, Beloniformes, Adrianichthyidae. The record is from Ensembl.
GAUGCAGAAAUGAUGAGCUUCCAUGUCUCUUCUCUGAUUGAACAUCUUGUGAAGAAAACUCUGCACAGCUCUGAUCUGCAGC